AGGACGAACGCUGGCGGCGUGCUUAACACAUGCAAGUCGAGCGGAAAGGCCCUUCGGGGUACUCGAGCGGCGAACGGGUGAGUAACACGUGAGCAACCUGCCCCUGGCUCUGGGAUAGCCUCCGGAAACGGGGAUUAAUACCGGACAUGACCUGCUGCCGCAUGGUGGCGGGUGGAAAGUUUUUCGGCCAGGGUGGGGCUCGCGGCCUAUCAGCUUGUUGGGGGGGUGACGGCCCACCAAGGCGACGACGGGUAGCCGGCCUGAGAGGGCGACCGGCCACACUGGGACUGAGACACGGCCCAGACUCCUACGGGAGGCAGCAGUGGGGAAUAUUGCGCAAUGGGCGGAAGCCUGACGCAGCGACGCCGCGUGCGGGAUGAAGGCCUUCGGGUUGUAAACCCCUUUCAGCACAGACGAAGCGCAAGUGACGGUAUGUGCAGAAGAAGCACCGGCCAACUACGCGCCAGCAGCCGC
Molecule: ribosomal RNA, 474 nt
Filed under: uncultured bacterium
Lineage: Bacteria
Description: SSU rRNA
Rfam family: Bacterial small subunit ribosomal RNA
Source: RNAcentral